GAUGAACGCUGGCGGCGUGCCUAAUACAUGCAAGUCGAGCGAACGGACGAGAAGCUUGCUUCUCUGAUGUUAGCGGCGGACGGGUGAGUAACACGUGGAUAACCUGCCUAUAAGACUGGGAUAACUUCGGGAAACCGGAGCUAAUACCGGAUGAUAUUUUGAACCGCAUGGUUCAAAAGUGAAAGACGGUCUUGCUGUCACUUAUAGAUGGAUCCGCGCUGCAUUAGCUAGUUGGUAAGGUAACGGCUUACCAAGGCAACGAUGCAUAGCCGACCUGAGAGGGUGAUCGGCCACACUGGAACUGAGACACGGUCCAGACUCCUACGGGAGGCAGCAGUAGGGAAUCUUCCGCAAUGGGCGAAAGCCUGACGGAGCAACGCCGCGUGAGUGAUGAAGGUCUUCGGAUCGUAAAACUCUGUUAUUAGGGAAGAACAUAUGUGUAAGUAACUGUGCACACCUUGACGGUACCUAAUCAGAAAGCCACGGCUAACUACGUG
RNAcentral lists this ribosomal RNA (497 nucleotides) under uncultured bacterium. RNAcentral's name for it is "partial 16S ribosomal RNA". It matches the Rfam family "Bacterial small subunit ribosomal RNA", at positions 28 to 507 of the family's 1533-position model. The record is from RNAcentral.